This 400-nucleotide ribosomal RNA is filed under the name uncultured bacterium. RNAcentral describes it as "bacterial SSU rRNA". It matches the Rfam family "Bacterial small subunit ribosomal RNA", at positions 355 to 747 of the family's 1533-position model. The record is from RNAcentral.
UGGGGAAUAUUGCACAAUGGGCGCAAGCCUGAUGCAGCCAUGCCGCGUGUGUGAAGAAGGCCUUCGGGUUGUAAAGCACUUUCGGUUAGGAGGAAGUUAUUUAGGCUAAUAGUUUAGGUAAUUGACGUUACUGACAGAAGAAGCACCGGCAAACUCCGUGCCAGCAGCCGCGGUAAUACGGAGGGUGCGAGCGUUAAUCGGAAUAACUGGGCGUAAAGGGCACGUAGGCGGUGAAUUAAGUUAGAUGUGAAAUCCCUGGGCUUAACCUAGGAACAGCAUUUAAGACUGGUGAGCUAGAGUUUCGGAGAGGGGGGUAGAAUUCCAUGUGUAGCGGUGAAAUGCGUAGAGAUGUGGAGGAAUACCGGUGGCGAAGGCGGCCCUCUGGCCGGGAACUGACGCU